RNAcentral lists this ribosomal RNA (357 nucleotides) under uncultured bacterium. Its description in RNAcentral is "bacterial SSU rRNA". It matches the Rfam family "Bacterial small subunit ribosomal RNA", at positions 29 to 414 of the family's 1533-position model. The record is from RNAcentral.
AACGAACGCUGGCGGCAGGCUUAACACAUGCAAGUCGAGCGCCCCGCAAGGGGAGCGGCAGACGGGUGAGUAACGCGUGGGAAUCUACCCUUUUCUACGGAAUAACGCAUGGAAACGUGUGCUAAUACCGUAUAAGCCCUUCGGGGAAAGGAUUUAUCGGGAAAGGAUGAGCCCGCGUUGGAUUAGCUAGUUGGUGGGGUAAAGGCCUACCAAGGCGACGAUCCAUAGCUGGUCUGAGAGGAUGAUCAGCCACAUUGGGACUGAGACACGGCCCAAACUCCUACGGGAGGCAGCAGUGGGGAAUAUUGGACAAUGGGCGGCAAGCCUGAUCCAGCCAUGCCGCGUGAGUGAUGAAGG